Molecule: ribosomal RNA, 505 nt
Filed under: uncultured bacterium
Lineage: Bacteria
Description: bacterial SSU rRNA
Rfam family: Bacterial small subunit ribosomal RNA
Source: RNAcentral
CUGGCUCAGGAUGAACGCUAGCGGCAGGCCUAACACAUGCAAGUCGAGGGGCAGCGGGGUGUAGCAAUACACUGCCGGCGACCGGCGCACGGGUGCGUAACGCGUAUGCAACCUACCCAUGGGAGGGGGAUAACCCGGAGAAAUCCGGACUAAUACCCCGUAACACACACAUUCGCAUGGAAGUGUGUUGAAAGAUACGUCGUCCAUGGACGGGCAUGCGUGGCAUUAGGUAGUUGGCGGGGCAACGGCCCACCAAGCCAUCGAUGCCUAGGGGUGCUGAGAGGCUAAUCCCCCACACUGGUACUGAGACACGGACCAGACUCCUACGGGAGGCAGCAGUGAGGAAUAUUGGUCAAUGGAGGGAACUCUGAACCAGCCAUGCCGCGUGAGGGAGGAAGGCCCUAUGGGUUGUAAACCUCUUUUGCCUGGGGGCAAUGAGGGCGGUGCGCCGUCCGAUGAGAGUACCAGGCGAAUAAGCAUCGGCUAACUCCGUGCCAGCCGCCGC